Arvicanthis niloticus (Nile rat) is the source of this 115-nucleotide non-coding RNA. Lineage: Eukaryota; Metazoa; Chordata; Mammalia; Rodentia; Muridae. The record is from RefSeq and is a predicted model, not a curated record.
UGUGCUGGGAUGGGCACUCUGCUUAAAGUUUUCUUUUUGCCACUGAGAGGACUGGAAAGCAGUAGAAUAUCUUCAUUUAUAAGAGCAAUGCUAAGACAACCUUUGGCUUAAGGAA